UGACUGAUGAGCUGCUGCUAUAUAUAAAAUGAGGGAGGGAGAGAGUAACCGCACCUCCACACCUCGUCCCAACUACUGAAUGAGCCCCAUACCUUACCCUUCCGAUCUCUUUUCUCUCAACCCACCAUUGAUGCCCUUCAAUUCAUGCCAAGUACUCUCUUCCGAAGAAAGAGACAAGUUCCACUGCCAUCACUUCCCCUACUUGGGAAAGACACAUACAUAUGUGAAGACAUAAGCUGCAGCGGCGUGUUUCUAUUUGUUCUUCUUUUGCUUCUGCCUACUAAGUGAUCGAGCCUAGUGACUGGACAAAGGGAGAAACAAUUGCAUCAUCCCUCACCUUCGCGACCGUCAUAAUUGGCCGCCAUAUAAGGAUGGUGGAGUUUAUGGCGGUCGUGGUGAUCAGGGGGUACGACGCGUAGCAGGACCCGGGGGGAGCGGAUGUGGGAGGUGGGGUAAAGCAGCGCUGACAUGUUCGCCACUCCCCUUCCUUCCUCAUGCUCGUCCGUAUUCCUUCUCUUUUUUUCUUUUUCUUUUUAUGUUCCAUUCUUUCCGAUCAUCUCCUGUUUCUGAGUUAACGCACUUUGGACAUCCUUUUGUGAUCUUAUUCUACUUAGUAAGUAUGCGUGUGUGUAUGCGAAGAAGCACAAUCAAAAUGUUAAUAAAGGUGGCGGAGAUGAUUAGCGGGCCGGAGAAGGAGAUCAUUGGACUUGUCCGGAUGCAUCAAGACCGUGGCCUGAGGCACCUCCUUGCCUUGUUAUUAUCCUCACCCUCGAAGAAGGACACCGUGAGCGACGUCUCUCGGCACCUUUCUCGCCGUCCGCCCGUGAUCCCGGGUGACAGGUCCCGUGAUCCUUCGAACGACGUCCGCCCGUGAUCCCGGGUGGCAGGUCCCGUGAUCCCUCGAACGACGUCCGCCCGUGAUCCCGGGUGGCAGGACCCGUGAUCCUUCGAACGACGUCCGCCCGUGAUUCCGGGUGGCAGGUCCCGUGAUCCCUCGACGUCCGCCCGUGAUCCCGGGGUGACAGGUCCCGUGAUCCUCACCCUCGAACGACGCUACAAGGCGUGGGGGACCCCAGCAGUUUUCUCGCCGUCCGCCCGUGAUCCCGGGUGGCAGGUCCCGUGAUCCUUCGAACGACGUCCGUCCGUGAUCCCGGGUGGCAGGUCCCGUGAUCCCUCGAACGACUGUCCGCCCGUGAUCCCGGGUGGCAGGACCCGUGAUCCUUCGAACGACGUCCGCUCGUGAUCCCGGGUGGCAGGUCCCGUGAUCCCUCGAACGACGUCCGCCCGUGAUCCCGGGUGACAGGUCCGUGAUCCUCACCCUCGAACGACGCUACAAGGCGUGGGGACCCAGCAGCUCCCGUGACGUCGGCUGCCGAGCGAUGACGACGUACGAGCCUCUCUCCCAUCGCACUAAUUACUGUCUUUAAUAUUAAUCUAAUCGAAUGGCAUCCGGGGAUUACACGUCCUCGUCAACCGCCCUCCCUCGGCACCUUCCUCGCCGUUCCCUCGGGCUGCUCCGUCGCGGUCCGGUGGGAGGGGGCGGGCGCGUUCCUGGCCGACCCGCCCGCAUCGUGGGCGGUGGCCAGCGUGUGGAACUCCAAGGAGGUGUUCCCACUGGAGGUGCGGGGGGCAGGGCGGUGGCGGCAAAGGCUGGCGCGGGCGAGCCGCGCGGUGGACCGGGCGCUACCGUGGCUGCGCAUCCCCCGGAGCCGGGGUCCUCCCUCGCCGUGUUGUGCACGUGACAGAGUUCACGGGUGGGAGUUCAGAGGUAUUAGUAACGCGUUCAGAUCUCGGACAUGCAGAGAGGGAUCACGGGAUCUGCUGGGCAGGCGCUCUUUUCCCCUACUUUCGCCACCGUCAUAAUUGGCCGUCAUAUAAGGAUGGUGGAGUCUAUGGCGGUCGUGGUGAUUUACGACGCGUAGCGGGACCCGGGGGGAGCAGAUGUGGGAGGUGGGGUACAGCAGCGCUGCCAUGUCCGCCACUCCCCUUCCUUCCUCAUGCUCUAAGUAUGCAUAUGUGUAUGCGAAGAAGCACAAUCAUAACCUUAAUAAAGGUGGCGGAGAUGAUUAGCGGGCCGGAGAAGGAGAUCGUUGGACUUGUCCCGGGUGCAUCAAGACCGUGGCCUGAGGCACCUCCUUGCCUUUAUUAUCCUCACCCUCGGCGCCGUCUCUCGGCACCUUUCUCGCCGUCCCUCCUUCGUUCUUGAUCCUCACGCGCGGUCGUGGGCCCUGUCCCGCAGGUCCCGUCAUCCCUUUCAUCCGUGAACGGUGCUACAAGGCGUGGGGAUCGGGCGCUACCGUGGCUGUGCAUCCCUCGGAGCUCCGUCACCUUUUUCUUAAAUGAUUAGUGUGUUUGGAGAGAGGCUCGUACGUCGCCAGCAGCCGGAGUCCCCCACCUUGUUGCAGCGUUCACGUAUGGGAAAGAUCACGAUACCUGCGGGACAGGGCCCACGUGCCGUGAUGGAUCACGGGUGAAGGAUGGACGGCGAGAAAGGUGCCGAGGGGCGUCAAUGUCACCGUGUUCUUAUUCGAGGGCGAAGAGGGAUUAAACCGAUUCUGGUGCAGAGGAUAGAGGAGUGAUCUAAGGUGAAGACGACCGAGUACGCGUACAUGGCGGCGGAGAUGGACACCGUGACAUCGACGUUGUCCUCGCCAACCCGCCCUCCGGCACCUUCCUCGCCGUCCCCUCGGGCUGCUCCGUCGCGGUCCGGUGGGAGGGGGCGGGCGCGUUCCUGGCCGACCCGCCCGCGACGUGGGCGGUGGCCAGUGUGUGGAAGUCCAAAGAGGUGUUCCCACUGGAGGUGCGGGGUCAGGGCGGUGGCGGUGGAAGUCCAAGGAGGUGUUAUGGUAAAACUUUUGUUAUUUUUUUCUUUUUUUUUUCAGGUUUGAGAUGGUCCGGUACUUGGCGCCGACAAAGCAAGAGUACUUGGCGCUCUGCGACUAAGGGUAAGGGUCCGGUACUCAUCGCCUGUCAUUGUUGGCCUCCGACUCAACAUUCGGGUCGUUGAGUCUGCGAGAAGGCAUUCGGGUCUUAUCAGGCUCUGGGCGGGCACAAGGCCAGCCACCGGAAGCCUAGCAACGGUGUCAAGGAAACCUCGGCCUCGGGCUCUUCCACGACUAGCGCAAGCGCCUCCACGGCGGCCUCCGG
Musa acuminata AAA Group (dessert banana) is the source of this 3147-nucleotide long non-coding RNA. RefSeq lists it as uncharacterized. The record is from RefSeq and is a predicted model, not a curated record. The transcript has 3 exons. Lineage: Eukaryota; Viridiplantae; Streptophyta; Magnoliopsida; Zingiberales; Musaceae.